UGGGGAAUAUUGCACAAUGGGCGCAAGCCUGAUGCAGCCAUGCCGCGUGUAUGAAGAAGGCCUUCGGGUUGUAAAGUACUUUCAGUCGGGAGGAAGGUGGUAAGGUUAAUAACCUUAUCAAUUGACGUUACCGACAGAAGAAGCACCGGCUAACUCCGUGCCAGCAGCCGCGGUAAUACGGAGGGUGCAAGCGUUAAUCGGAAUUACUGGGCGUAAAGCGCACGCAGGCGGUCUGUCAAGUCGGAUGUGAAAUCCCCGGGCUUAACCUGGGAACUGCAUUCGAAACUGGCAGGCUAGAGUCUUGUAGAGGGGGGUAGAAUUCCAGGUGUAGCGGUGAAAUGCGUAGAGAUCUGGAGGAAUACCGGUGGCGAAGGCGGCCCCCUGGACGAAGACUGACGCUCAGGUGCGAAAGCGUGGGGAGCAAACAGG
Molecule: ribosomal RNA, 429 nt
Filed under: Chloroflexota bacterium
Lineage: Bacteria; Bacillati; Chloroflexota
Description: Chloroflexi bacterium partial 16S ribosomal RNA
Rfam family: Bacterial small subunit ribosomal RNA
Source: RNAcentral